Molecule: small nucleolar RNA, 83 nt
Organism: Peromyscus eremicus (cactus mouse)
Lineage: Eukaryota; Metazoa; Chordata; Mammalia; Rodentia; Cricetidae
Product: small nucleolar RNA SNORD75
Exons: 1
Source: RefSeq, a predicted model, not a curated record
AGUCCCAGAUGAAGGUAUUGGCUCAUAAAUGAUGACGUGAGAGUAGUGGACAGAAGGGAUCUCCAAAAAACUAUUCUGAGGCU